UACGGAGGGGGCUAGCGUUGCUCGGAAUUACUGGGCGUAAAGAGCAUGUAGGCGGAUUGUAUAGUCAGGCGUGAAAGCCCCAGGCUCAACCUGGGAACUGCGUUUGAUACUUACAGUCUAGAGUCCGAGAGAGGGUGGUGGAAUUCCCAGUGUAGAGGUGAAAUUCGUAGAUAUUGGGAAGAACACCAGUGGCGAAGGCGGCCACCUGGCUCGGUACUGACGCUGAGAUGCGAAAGCGUGGGGAGCGAAC
RNAcentral lists this ribosomal RNA (250 nucleotides) under uncultured bacterium. Its description in RNAcentral is "partial 16S ribosomal RNA". It matches the Rfam family "Bacterial small subunit ribosomal RNA", at positions 524 to 773 of the family's 1533-position model. The record is from RNAcentral.